AGUUAUCAUUAACGUUAUACGGGCCUGGCACCCUCUAUGGGUAAAUGGCCUCAUUUAAGAAGGACUUAAAUCGUUAAUUUCUCAUACUAGAUUAUUGACGUUCCAUACACUGCAUCUCACAUUUGCCAUAAAGACAAAGUGACUUAGUGCUGAACUGAUUUCUUUUCGCUCGCCGCUACUAAGA
This 184-nucleotide ribosomal RNA is filed under the name Drosophila nannoptera. RNAcentral describes it as "partial 28S ribosomal RNA". Lineage: Eukaryota; Metazoa; Arthropoda; Insecta; Diptera; Drosophilidae. The record is from RNAcentral.